Molecule: ribosomal RNA, 358 nt
Filed under: uncultured bacterium
Lineage: Bacteria
Description: bacterial SSU rRNA
Rfam family: Bacterial small subunit ribosomal RNA
Source: RNAcentral
AGAGUUUGAUCAUGGCUCAGGAUGAACGCUAGCUACAGGCUUAACACAUGCAAGUCGGAGGGGCAGCAUGGUCUUAGCUUGCUAAGGCUGAUGGCGACCGGCGCACGGGUGAGUAACACGUAUCCAACCUGCCGUCUACUCUUGGCCAGCCUUCUGAAAGGAAGAUUAAUCCAGGAUGGGAUCAUGAGUUCACAUGUCCGCAUGAUUAAAGGUAUUUUCCGGUAGACGAUGGGGAUGCGUUCCAUUAGAUAGUAGGCGGGGUAACGGCCCACCUAGUCAACGAUGGAGUAGGGGUUCUGAGAGGAAGGUCCCCCACAUUGGAACUGAGACACGGUCCAAACUCCUACGGGAGGCAGCA